CAACAAGAGCAAAGGAGUUCCAAUAAUUCUUAAGGUAUGACAUUGGGUGCUUUUCACAAGAGAAACCUUCAAAGUAAUUCUUAAGAAGAAAGAAGUUUCAACUCCUGUGUAGGGUAAACGUGUGGAACACCUAAAAUCUGUUACUAAAGCAUUUGGAAUGAGUGUUCCUCCCACAAUUUACAAAAAUGUGAAGCAGGCAGGCUCCUGAAGCAGGCGUGAAGGUCAACUAAUAAAGGAGUUGGAAGAAAUACUGCGCAGGGAAGGAUUAUCUUCAAAUCCCUCUGAAAAGGAAAUCAAGGAAGUGCGAAGGAAGCAGGACAGAGCAAAAGAACUUGAGGGUAUUAUAUGAGCAAUAUAGUGUCAAGUUCACGUAGAAGGUCAACAACUAGCUUUGUAGCUCCUCCACCUCGGAAGCCAAAGACCCUAGAAAUGGUGCUAAAGAUAGUGAGAAUGAUGGCAAAGAUGAUGAAGAAGAUAGUAGUGACGACGAGGGAAGCCAGAGUGAAGAAUUAAAUGAAGAUGGCACAGAUUUAGUGGUAGGAACAUGAGGACCACUAACACUCGUGUCUGCUUCAUAGACCUCAAUGUCACUGUCCUCAACAAGUUCAGUGUUUUCAAUAGAAUAAAUGGGGUGCUUGAAGUAUAUGUGCAUUUGAUAUACGUUCAGUUUAUGUCCCGCAUCAUAAACUUUGUUGCCUACCCUCAACAAUGUUGUCACCAUACGAUUGAUGUCUCGGUCAGUGACAAGUGGGUUAAGGGCAGUUUCUAAAUAAUUAUCCUUAGGGUGCUUCCACAUCAUACUUUCGUACUCAUAAUAGCCAUGGUCUUUGAACAAUGUGUUCAUGUCCUUCAAGUUCACGAAGUCAACGUCUACUGGUGGAAAUUUUCGAACACCAUAAUUUAUGUACUCGAAAUUGUUGUGUUCAUCCCUGACAAAGUCACCACCAUGAUGAUACAAUAGGACAACAUGUUCUGCCAUUUGCAAUAAACAAUUAGUGCAAAAUUAGCACAACAUUACCAUUUAAUGUACAAAAUUACCACAAAAUUGCCUUGGACCCCACACAAUAAACAAUUAGUCCAGUAAGAGAUCACAUGAUCUACCAAUUAGUGCAGAAUGCAAUAAACAAUUACUAAAUGUAGUACACAAUGGACCACCACAAUAAAGUGCAGUAAACACAAGGCGAAACGCAUUAGGAAAUAUUAAAUUGCAUUCACAUGGACCCCCAUAUUCCACACAAGACAACAAUGGACCCCCACAGUGAAUACAAUGCAAUAAACAAUGGACCCCCCCCCAAUGAAACGCAUUAAACAACGAAUACAUGAGUAAUAAACAACAGACAAAUGCAAAAAAAUGCAAUUUCGAAACAAAUGACAAUGUGAAUC
Molecule: long non-coding RNA, 1383 nt
Filed under: Lupinus mutabilis
Lineage: Eukaryota; Viridiplantae; Streptophyta; Magnoliopsida; Fabales; Fabaceae
Description: partial ncRNA
Source: RNAcentral